RNAcentral lists this unclassified non-coding RNA (68 nucleotides) under Bodo saltans. Lineage: Eukaryota; Euglenozoa; Kinetoplastea; Eubodonida; Bodonidae. The record is from RNAcentral.
CGCUAUGCUCAUUACAACAAAUGCUGAUGUAAUCUAAUAACAAGAUUCCAUCUUUUUUUUUUUUUUUU